This 253-nucleotide ribosomal RNA is filed under the name uncultured bacterium. Its description in RNAcentral is "partial 16S ribosomal RNA". It matches the Rfam family "Bacterial small subunit ribosomal RNA", at positions 524 to 776 of the family's 1533-position model. The record is from RNAcentral.
UACGGAGGGAGCUAGCGUUGUUCGGAAUUACUGGGCGUAAAGCGCACGUAGGCGGCGACUCAAGUCAGAGGUGAAAGCCCGGGGCUCAACCCCGGAACUGCCUUUGAAACUAGGUUGCUAGAAUCUUGGAGAGGUCAGUGGAAUUCCGAGUGUAGAGGUGAAAUUCGUAGAUAUUCGGAAGAACACCAGUGGCGAAGGCGACUUACUGGACACAUAUUGACGCUGAGGUGCGAAAGCGUGGGGAGCGAACAGG